Molecule: ribosomal RNA, 496 nt
Filed under: uncultured bacterium
Lineage: Bacteria
Description: partial 16S ribosomal RNA
Rfam family: Bacterial small subunit ribosomal RNA
Source: RNAcentral
GACGAACGCUGGCGGCGUGCCUAAUACAUGCAAGUUGAGUGAUGAAGAUUGGUGCUUGCACCAAUUUGAAGAGCAGCGAACGGGUGAGUAACGCGUGGGGAAUCUGCCUUUGAGCGGGGGGCAACAUUUGGAAACGAAUGCUAAUACCGCAUAACAACUUUAAACAUAAGUUUUAAGUUUGAAAGAUGCAAUUGCAUCACUCAAAGAUGAUCCCGCGUUGUAUUAGCUAGUUGGUGAGGUAAAGGCUCACCAAGGCGAUGAUACAUAGCCGACCUGAGAGGGUGAUCGGCCACAUUGGGACUGAGACACGGCCCAAACUCCUACGGGAGGCAGCAGUAGGGAAUCUUCGGCAAUGGACGAAAGUCUGACCGAGCAACGCCGCGUGAGUGAAGAAGGUUUUCGGAUCGUAAAACUCUGUUGGUAGAGAAGAACGUUGGUGAGAGUGGAAAGCUCAUCAAGUGACGGUAACUACCCAGAAAGGGACGGCUAACUACGU